UACGAAGGGGGCUAGCGUUGUCCGGAAUUACUGGGCGUAAAGCGCACGUAGGCGGAUAUUUAAGUCAGGGGUGAAAUCCCAGAGCUCAACUCUGGAACUGCCUUUGAUACUGGGUAUCUUGAGUAUGGAAGAGGUAAGUGGAAUUGCGAGUGUAGAGGUGAAAUUCGUAGAUAUUCGCAGGAACACCAGUGGCGAAGGCGGCUUACUGGUCCAUAACUGACGCUGAGGUGCGAAAGCGUGGGGAGCAAACAGGG
RNAcentral lists this ribosomal RNA (254 nucleotides) under uncultured bacterium. RNAcentral's name for it is "partial 16S ribosomal RNA". It matches the Rfam family "Bacterial small subunit ribosomal RNA", at positions 524 to 777 of the family's 1533-position model. The record is from RNAcentral.